UACGUAGGUGGCAAGCGUUGUCCGGAAUUACUGGGUGUAAAGCGCGUGUAGGCGGCAGGCCAAGUCUGCGGUGAAAGCGCCCGGCUCAACUGGGCGAGGUCCGUGGAAACUGGUCAGCUGGAGGACGGUAGAGGCGAGUGGAAUUCCCGGUGUAGUGGUGAAAUGCGUAGAUAUCGGGAGGAACACCUGUGGCGAAAGCGGCUCACUGGACCACAACUGACGCUGAUGCGCGAAAGCUAGGGGAGCAAACAGG
Molecule: ribosomal RNA, 253 nt
Filed under: uncultured bacterium
Lineage: Bacteria
Description: partial 16S ribosomal RNA
Rfam family: Bacterial small subunit ribosomal RNA
Source: RNAcentral